UACGAAGGGGGCUAGCGUUGCUCGGAAUCACUGGGCGUAAAGGGUGUGCAGGCGGGCUGUUAAGUGGUGUAUGAAAUAUCCCGGCUCAACCGGGAAGGGUUAUGCCAGACUGGCAGUCUAGAGAGCGAGAGAGGGACGUGGAAUUCCGGGUGUAGUGGUGAAAUGCGUAGAGAUCCGGAGGAACCCCAGAGGCGAAGGCGGCGUCCUGGCUCGCAUCUGACGCUCAGACACGACAGCAUGGGGAGCGAACGGG
RNAcentral lists this ribosomal RNA (253 nucleotides) under uncultured bacterium. Its description in RNAcentral is "partial 16S ribosomal RNA". It matches the Rfam family "Bacterial small subunit ribosomal RNA", at positions 524 to 776 of the family's 1533-position model. The record is from RNAcentral.